This is a long non-coding RNA of Mastomys coucha (southern multimammate mouse), 289 nucleotides long. RefSeq lists it as uncharacterized. The record is from RefSeq and is a predicted model, not a curated record. The transcript is spliced from 2 exons. Lineage: Eukaryota; Metazoa; Chordata; Mammalia; Rodentia; Muridae.
CACUAGUGGUGUGGCCAACAGCUUGUGAAGGGGCCAGCAGACACUUGUCUGAUGCUUGCAGUGGUAACCCACUAAAAAUGUCGGAAGCAAGCAGUAAAUCGGGCUUGUAGACCUAAUGGAAGAAAGCAUGUGGACUCCAGACCCAUCAGGCUAAUGUCUACUCCUGCCAUCUUGUCUUCACUUCCAGUUGGUUCUCUGGCUUGACCUGGAAGCAUGCUAAUGCUUGAGUAGAAAGGGGGAAAGAGGAAUCUUAGAGCAGAAAGCAGGCAAUACACUGCCCACAUUCACU